Non-coding RNA from Oryctolagus cuniculus (rabbit), 499 nucleotides. The record is from RefSeq and is a predicted model, not a curated record. NCBI's taxonomy places the organism in Eukaryota, Metazoa, Chordata, Mammalia, Lagomorpha, Leporidae.
CAGCAGGCUGUGUGUUCUUUGCUUAUCCAAGAUUCCCAUUCUCUUCUUACUAGAUCUCUACUACCCAGCAUAAUCAGCUGGGGUCUGGUGAAUAGAUUAAGGAAAAAGGCUUUUAGCUGUCACACAAAGCAGAUUCAAGAGCAGAGCCAAACUUGACAGUUAAUCUCCAAAGUAGAAGGAUAAUUCGGCCUUAAUCAUGUGUGCCACACAAAAUGACUGGUGCUAAUCCUAUAGGCAGAGCUUGGAUUGGAUGCCCAGCAGGACAGUCAUUGGAACUGAUUAGGAGGAACUGCGAUACUGUAUGAGUGAGAAGUUAAAUAAGUACUACUUAAACCCUGACUUCAAAAACAACAGAACUAUGACAUACAACAGCUAACAAUAUGCAGCAUGAUACUCCACUGUGAUGCUGGGCAGCAACAGCUUCCAUUUAAUCAUGCAAUCAUGAGGGAGACAACAGAUACUGUACAGUGUACUAUUAUAUUCAAUAAAUUACAUGAGA